RNAcentral lists this ribosomal RNA (467 nucleotides) under uncultured bacterium. RNAcentral describes it as "partial 16S ribosomal RNA". It matches the Rfam family "Bacterial small subunit ribosomal RNA", at positions 28 to 507 of the family's 1533-position model. The record is from RNAcentral.
GAUGAACGCUGGCGGCGUGCUUAACACAUGCAAGUCGAACGGUGAAGCAGAGCUUGCUCUGUGGAUCAGUGGCGAACGGGUGAGUAACACGUGAGCAACCUGCCCCUGACUCUGGGAUAAGCGCUGGAAACGGCGUCUAAUACUGGAUAUGAGCUGCGACCGCAUGGUCAGCAGUUGGAAAGAUUUUUCGGUCUGGGAUGGGCUCACGGCCUAUCAGCUUGUUGGUGAGGUAAUGGCUCACCAAGGCGUCGACGGGUAGCCGGCCUGAGAGGGUGACCGGCCACACUGGGACUGAGACACGGCCCAGACUCCUACGGGAGGCAGCAGUGGGGAAUAUUGCACAAUGGGCGAAAGCCUGAUGCAGCAACGCCGCGUGAGGGAUGACGGCCCUCGGGUUGUAAACCUCUUUUAGCAGGGAAGAAGCGAAAGCGACGGUACCUGCAGAAAAAGCGCCGGCUAACUACGUG